RNAcentral lists this ribosomal RNA (852 nucleotides) under Chaetosphaeriales sp. RNAcentral's name for it is "partial 28S ribosomal RNA". It matches the Rfam family "Eukaryotic large subunit ribosomal RNA", at positions 56 to 946 of the family's 3401-position model. The record is from RNAcentral. Lineage: Eukaryota; Fungi; Ascomycota; Sordariomycetes; Chaetosphaeriales.
GAGAGAGCAGAGGGAUUGCCUCAGUAACGGCGAGUGAAGCGGCAACAGCUCAAAUUUGAAAUCUGGCCCCCCGGCCCGAGUUGUAAUUUGCAGAGGAUGCUUCUGGCGCGGUGCCUUCCAAGUCCCCUGGAACGGGGCGCCAUAGAGGGUGAGAGCCCCGUCUGGUUGGCCGCCAAGCCUGUGUGAAGCUCCUUCGACGAGUCGAGUAGUUUGGGAAUGCUGCUCUAAACGGGAGGUAGACCCCUUCUAAAGCUAAAUACCGGCCAGAGACCGAUAGCGCACAAGUAGAGUGAUCGAAAGAUGAAAAGCACUUUGAAAAGAGGGUUAAACAGUACGUGAAAUUGUUGAAAGGGAAGCGCUUGUGACCAGACGUGCGCCGGGUGUUCAGCGGGCGUUUUCGCCCGUGCAUUCGCCCCGGCGCAGGCCAGCGUCGGUUCGGGCGGGGGGAUAAAGGCGUCAGGAACGUAUCUCCCCCGGGAGUGUUAUAGCCUGGCGCGUCAUGCCCCCGCCUGGACCGAGGUUCGCGCUCCGCAAGGACGCUGGCGUAAUGGUCCCCAGCGGCCCGUCUUGAAACACGGACCAAGGAGUCGAGGUUUUACGCGAGUGUCUGGGUGUCAAACCCGCACGCGUAAUGAAAGUGAACGUAGGUGGGAGCUUCGGCGCACCACCGACCGAUCCUGAUGUUUUCGGAUGGAUUUGAGUAGGAGCGUAGGGCCUCGGACCCGAAAGAUGGUGAACUAUACUUGGAUAGGGUGAAGCCAGAGGAAACUCUGGUGGAGGCUCGCAGCGGUUCUGACGUGCAAAUCGAUCGUCAAAUCUGAGUAUGGGGGCGAAAGACUAAUCGACCAUCAG